GGGGCUGGGGCUCAGGGGCAGAGCACUUGCCUGGCAUGUGUGAGGCUCUGGGUUCCAUCCUUAGCACCCCCA
This 72-nucleotide transfer RNA is filed under the name Ictidomys tridecemlineatus (thirteen-lined ground squirrel). RNAcentral's name for it is "Spermophilus tridecemlineatus (thirteen-lined ground squirrel) tRNA". It matches the Rfam family "tRNA". From Rfam's summary of the family: Transfer RNA (tRNA) molecules are approximately 80 nucleotides in length. Their secondary structure includes four short double-helical elements and three loops (D, anti-codon, and T loops). Lineage: Eukaryota; Metazoa; Chordata; Mammalia; Rodentia; Sciuridae. The record is from Rfam by way of RNAcentral.